Molecule: ribosomal RNA, 253 nt
Filed under: uncultured bacterium
Lineage: Bacteria
Description: partial 16S ribosomal RNA
Rfam family: Bacterial small subunit ribosomal RNA
Source: RNAcentral
UACGUAGGGCGCAAGCGUUGUCCGGAAUUAUUGGGCGUAAAGAGCUCGUAGGCGGCCUGUCGCGUCUGCUGUGAAAUCCCGGGGCUCAACCCCGGGCGUGCAGUGGAUACGGGCUGGCUGGAGGCAGGCAGGGGAGAACGGAAUUCCUGGUGUAGCGGUGAAAUGCGCAGAUAUCAGGAGGAACACCGGUGGCGAAGGCGGUUCUCUGGGCAUGUCCUGACGCUGAGGAGCGAAAGUGUGGGGAGCGAACAGG